GGCUGGGUAGCUCAGUUGGUAGAGCACGGCACUGAAAAUGCCGGUGUCGUCAGUUCGAUUCUGACCCCAGCCACCA
RNAcentral lists this transfer RNA (76 nucleotides) under Pseudomonadota bacterium. RNAcentral's name for it is "tRNA-Phe". It matches the Rfam family "tRNA". From Rfam's summary of the family: Transfer RNA (tRNA) molecules are approximately 80 nucleotides in length. Their secondary structure includes four short double-helical elements and three loops (D, anti-codon, and T loops). The record is from RNAcentral. RNAcentral also lists the same sequence under 1 other name. Lineage: Bacteria; Pseudomonadati; Pseudomonadota.